RNAcentral lists this ribosomal RNA (496 nucleotides) under uncultured bacterium. Its description in RNAcentral is "partial 16S ribosomal RNA". It matches the Rfam family "Bacterial small subunit ribosomal RNA", at positions 29 to 507 of the family's 1533-position model. The record is from RNAcentral.
AUGCACGCUGGCGGCGUGCCUAAUACAUGCAAGUCGCGCGAACGGACGAGAAGCUUGCUUCUCUGAUGUUAGCGGCGGACGGGUGAGUAACACGUGGAUAACCUACCUAUAAGACUGGGAUAACUUCGGGAAACCGGAGCUAAUACCGGAUAAUAUUUUGAACCGCAUGGUUCAAAAGUGAAAGACGGUCUUGCUGUCACUUAUAGAUGGAUCCGCGCUGCAUUAGCUAGUUGGUAAGGUAACGGCUUACCAAGGCAACGAUGCAUAGCCGACCUGAGAGGGUGAUCGGCCACACUGGAACUGAGACACGGUCCAGACUCCUACGGGAGGCAGCAGUAGGGAAUCUUCCGCAAUGGGCGAAAGCCUGACGGAGCGACGCCGCGUGAGUGAUGAAGGUCUUCGGAUCGUAAAACUCUGUUAUUAGGGAAGAACAUAUGUGUAAGUAACUGUGCACAUCUUGACGGUACCUAAUCAGAAAGCCACGGCUAACUACGUG